Coregonus clupeaformis (lake whitefish) is the source of this 376-nucleotide long non-coding RNA. RefSeq lists it as uncharacterized. The record is from RefSeq and is a predicted model, not a curated record. The transcript is spliced from 3 exons. NCBI's taxonomy places the organism in Eukaryota, Metazoa, Chordata, Actinopteri, Salmoniformes, Salmonidae.
UGGCGGCGGUGGUUGUCAAGUAAACGAAAGACGCUAACUAGUGUUUGCAAGAUGGCGAAAUAUGUAGCUAGAAUUGGUUUCUAUCUAGUUUUUUUAUUGUAAAGGUGGCUGCGGUAUUCAGCGAAAACUUUUACCAUCUACUUUAUUGCUGCGGUUUUAGGUGAAACAUUGUCAAGGCAGGAACAGAGGAUGAAGAGUCAACGCUGGCCUUGAUCAACUACUAUUGCCACGAGAAGUAUUUCAUUCAUGUAUUAAAUGCUGCAGCUGUGGCCCAGAGGAAAUUCAGCAAUUAUCCAACCUUCAGAGGUGUCCAUGCCUACAGUACCCUGAUGCAAGGACACCUACAGUACCCGAUGUCACAGGAAGGCCAAAAAGA